UACAGAGGGUGCAAGCGUUGUUCGGAAUUAUUGGGCGUAAAGGGUGUGUAGGUGGCGCCGUAAGUCGGGUGUGAAAUUUCGGAGCUUAACUCCGAAACUGCAUUCGAUACUGCGGUGCUUGAGGACUGGAGAGGAGACUGGAAUUCAUGGUGUAGCAGUGAAAUGCGUAGAGAUCAUGAGGAAGACCAGUGGCGAAGGCGGGUCUCUGGACAGUUCCUGACACUGAGACACGAAGGCCAGGGGAGCAAACGGG
RNAcentral lists this ribosomal RNA (253 nucleotides) under uncultured bacterium. RNAcentral's name for it is "partial 16S ribosomal RNA". It matches the Rfam family "Bacterial small subunit ribosomal RNA", at positions 524 to 776 of the family's 1533-position model. The record is from RNAcentral.